UGAGGGAAAGGUGAAAAGAACCCCGGGAGGGGAGUGAAAUAGAACCUGAAACCCUGCACUUACAAGCUGUGGAAGCACAUUUCUUGUGUGACCGCGUACUUUUUGUAGAACGGGCCAACGAGUUACGCC
Molecule: ribosomal RNA, 129 nt
Filed under: Clostridioides difficile
Lineage: Bacteria; Bacillati; Bacillota; Clostridia; Peptostreptococcales; Peptostreptococcaceae
Description: partial 23S ribosomal RNA
Rfam family: Bacterial large subunit ribosomal RNA
Source: RNAcentral